Molecule: unclassified non-coding RNA, 198 nt
Filed under: rhizosphere metagenome
Description: partial ribosomal RNA internal transcribed spacer region
Source: RNAcentral
GUAGGUGAACCUGCGGAAGGAUCAUUAUCGUAGGGCUUCGGCCCUGUCGAGAUAGAACCCUUGCCUUUAUGAGUACCGUCCGUUUCCUCGGCAGGUCCGCCUGCCGAUGGACCAAAAAAACAAACCCUUUUUAUUACCUGUAUCAGUCUGAAAAACAAAUAAAAAUUAAAACUUUCAACAACGGAUCUCUUGGUUCUG